RNAcentral lists this ribosomal RNA (485 nucleotides) under uncultured bacterium. Its description in RNAcentral is "partial 16S ribosomal RNA". It matches the Rfam family "Bacterial small subunit ribosomal RNA", at positions 29 to 506 of the family's 1533-position model. The record is from RNAcentral.
AUUGAACGCUGGCGGCAUGCCUUACACAUGCAAGUCGAACGGCAGCACGGGUGCUUGCACCUGGUGGCGAGUGGCGAACGGGUGAGUAAUACAUCGGAACAUGUCCUGUAGUGGGGGAUAGCCCGGCGAAAGCCGGAUUAAUACCGCAUACGAUCUACGGAUGAAAGCGGGGGACCUUCGGGCCUCGCGCUGUAGGGUUGGCCGAUGGCUGAUUAGCUAGUUGGUGGGGUAAAGGCCUACCAAGGCGACGAUCAGUAGCUGGUCUGAGAGGACGACCAGCGACACUGGGACUGAGACACGGCCCAGACUCCUACGGGAGGCAGCAGUGGGGAAUUGUGGACAAUGGGCGAAAGCCUGAUCCAGCAAUGGCGCGUGUGUGAAGAAGGCCUUCGGGUUGUAAAGCACUUUUGUCCGGAAAGAAAUCCUUGGCCCUAAUACGGUCGGGGGAUGACGGUACCGGAAGAAUAAGCACCGGCUAACUACGU